GUACACGCUGUGACUAGCAUAUCAAUAAGCGGAGGAAAAGAAACUAACAAGGAUUCCCCUAGUAACGGCGAGUGAAGCGGGAAGAGCUCAAAUUUGAAAUCUUAAAGGGUUUCCCUUUACGAAUUGUAGUUUAAAGAAGUGUUUUCUGUUGAGGUUUUGGUAAAAGUUCUUUGGAAUAGGACAUCAUAGAGGGUGAGAAUCCCGUAUUUGACCUUUACUUUCAACUUUGUGAUACACUUUCAAAGAGUCGGAUUGUUUGGGAAUGCAGUCCAAAAUGGGUGGUAAAUUUCAUCUAAAGCUAAAUAUUGGCGAGAGACCGAUAGCGAACAAGUACCGUGAGGGAAAGAUGAAAAGGACUUUGAAAAGAGAGUUAAACAGUACGUGAAAUUGUCAAAAGGGAAGCGUUUGACACCAGUGUUGUUUUUCUGAAAAUCAAUUAAAGAACUGUUUAUGCUAAGUUGUUUAGACUUUAUCAGCUAACUGUUUAGUUUUGAGCUUUUCUUUAAUGCACUUUUCAGUUAACAAGUCAACAUCAAUUUCUUUUGCUGUAAAAAAGCUUGAGGAAGGUGGCUUGAGAUUCGUCUUAAGUGUUUAUAGCCUCUUGCCUAUGCAGUCGGAGAGAUUGAGGUCUGCAGCGUAGAUCCUUCGGGGCUAAAUGCAUUUGUGCUAAGUUAUAGCAUUUUAUAGACAACUUUGUUGACUAUGAUUUGUCUUGUAGCUUACUCGCUUAUGUUAUUUUACCUACGCUUAGGAUGUUGACAGCAGUAUAGACUGU
RNAcentral lists this ribosomal RNA (775 nucleotides) under uncultured Neocallimastigales. RNAcentral's name for it is "partial large subunit ribosomal RNA". It matches the Rfam family "Eukaryotic large subunit ribosomal RNA", at positions 22 to 637 of the family's 3401-position model. Lineage: Eukaryota; Fungi; Neocallimastigomycota; Neocallimastigomycetes; Neocallimastigales. The record is from RNAcentral.